Molecule: ribosomal RNA, 711 nt
Filed under: Aspergillus brasiliensis
Lineage: Eukaryota; Fungi; Ascomycota; Eurotiomycetes; Eurotiales; Aspergillaceae
Description: partial 18S ribosomal RNA
Rfam family: Eukaryotic small subunit ribosomal RNA
Source: RNAcentral
UAAACAAUGCUUGUCAUAUGCUUGUCUCAGUCGUAACAAGGUUUCACUGUAGUCAUAUGCUUGUCUCAAGUCGUAACAAGGUUUCACUGUAGUCAUAUGCUUGUCUCAAGUCGUAACAAGGUUUCACUGUCCUCAUAUUCUUGACGGGAGUAUUUAUUUAAAAAAAAACCCAUGCCCUUCCGGGCUCCUUGGUGAAUCCUAAUAACUUAACGAAUCCCAUGGGCUUGGCCCCGGGAUGGGUCAUUUCAAUUUCUGCCCUAUCAACUUUCCAAGGGAAGAUAAGGGCCUACCCUGGGGGCAACGGGUAACGGGGAAUUAUGGGUCCAUUCCCGAAAAGGAACCUGAAAAAACGCUACCCCAUUCCAGGAAAGGAGCAGGGGCCCAAAUUACCCCAUCCCCACUCCGGGAAGGAAGGACAAAAAAUACUGAUACCGGGCUCUUUUGGGUCCCCGAAUUGGAAAUAAUACAAUCUAAAUCCCUUAACCAAGAACCAUUGGAAGGCAAAUCUGGGGGCAACAACCCCCGUAUUUCAGCUCCCAUAACCGAUAUUAAAAUUGUUGCAAUUUAAAAGCUUCGUAAUUGAACCUUGGGUCUUGGCUGGCCGGUCCCGCUCAACCGCGAGUACUGGUCCGGCUGGAGCUUUUCCUUCUGGAGAAUCUCAUGGCCUUCACUUGGCUGUGGGGGGAACCAAGACUUUUACUGGUGAAAAAU